RNAcentral lists this ribosomal RNA (791 nucleotides) under Streptomyces sp. RNAcentral's name for it is "bacterial SSU rRNA". It matches the Rfam family "Bacterial small subunit ribosomal RNA", at positions 55 to 861 of the family's 1533-position model. The record is from RNAcentral. Lineage: Bacteria; Bacillati; Actinomycetota; Actinomycetes; Kitasatosporales; Streptomycetaceae.
AUGCAAGUCGAACGAUGAACCACUUCGGUGGGGAUUAGUGGCGAACGGGUGAGUAACACGUGGGCAAUCUGCCCUUCACUCUGGGACAAGCCCUGGAAACGGGGUCUAAUACCGGAUAUGAGCCUGGGAGGCAUCUCCUGGGUUGUAAAGCUCCGGCGGUGAAGGAUGAGCCCGCGGCCUAUCAGCUUGUUGGUGAGGUAAUGGCUCACCAAGGCGACGACGGGUAGCCGGCCUGAGAGGGCGACCGGCCACACUGGGACUGAGACACGGCCCAGACUCCUACGGGAGGCAGCAGUGGGGAAUAUUGCACAAUGGGCGAAAGCCUGAUGCAGCGACGCCGCGUGAGGGAUGACGGCCUUCGGGUUGUAAACCUCUUUCAGCAGGGAAGAAGCGAGAGUGACGGUACCUGCAGAAGAAGCGCCGGCUAACUACGUGCCAGCAGCCGCGGUAAUACGUAGGGCGCAAGCGUUGUCCGGAAUUAUUGGGCGUAAAGAGCUCGUAGGCGGCUUGUCACGUCGAUUGUGAAAGCCCGAGGCUUAACCUCGGGUCUGCAGUCGAUACGGGCUAGCUAGAGUGUGGUAGGGGAGAUCGGAAUUCCUGGUGUAGCGGUGAAAUGCGCAGAUAUCAGGAGGAACACCGGUGGCGAAGGCGGAUCUCUGGGCCAUUACUGACGCUGAGGAGCGAAAGCGUGGGGAGCGAACAGGAUUAGAUACCCUGGUAGUCCACGCCGUAAACGGUGGGAACUAGGUGUUGGCGACAUUCCACGUCGUCGGUGCCGCAGCUAACGCAUU